CCGAGGGGCCUUUCUGUGUGGGGAUGACCAGGCCGGCUGCCGACGCAGUAGUAGAAUCUCGCUCUGGAGAGCUGUUUCUGCCCUCCGUUUCUUCUUCAGCCAUGUUGCCAGCUCCACGUGCAGCCCCAGUCCCUGCCUCGGUUUCCCUGUUGACCCUCAACGGGGAAGCUCCACUUGUUCGGGGCCUGAGCCUGGUGAGCCAAGCUCCCGGGGAGGCUCUGGCCUGGGCGCUGCUGGAGUUGUGGUGUGUCCCUCCAAGGCCUCAUUCCCUUUCACUACCUCGAUUUCUCUUUCUGCUCCACACGUUGCCUUCGAGACCAUCGCAGUCAGGCAGGGAGGCCGUCAUCAUGAUUUCUUAUAGCCACCUGGGGCCAACUCUGGGUCCCAAGAGGACACAUCCAGACCUAGAGCUCUCUUCCUCCUUGUGAAGCUUGACAUUAUUUGGAAGAUGGGCAGUGAAGGACACUCAGGAACUGGGGCAAAGACAGGGCCCCAAAGGUGUGUGGGGCCAGUACUGUCUUUGGAAUUUUAAUCACAAUAAAGUUUGGCAAGAAAACUGUGUAUGUACUUACACUCAG
Molecule: long non-coding RNA, 578 nt
Filed under: Rattus norvegicus (Norway rat)
Lineage: Eukaryota; Metazoa; Chordata; Mammalia; Rodentia; Muridae
Description: long non-coding RNA NONRATT029528
Source: RNAcentral